GGGAUUGCCUUAGUAGCGGCGAGUGAAGCGGCAAUAGCUCAAAUUUGAAAUCUGGCACCUUCGGUGUCCGAGUUGUAAUUUGAAGAAGGUAUCUUUGGUUUUGGCUCUUGUCUAUGUUCCUUGGAACAGGACGUCACAGAGGGUGAGAAUCCCGUGCGAUGAGAUGCCCAAUUCCAUGUAAAGUUCCUUCGACGAGUCGAGUUGUUUGGGAAUGCAGCUCUAAGUGGGUGGUAAAUUCCAUCUAAAGCUAAAUAUUGGCGAGAGACCGAUAGCGAACAAGUACUGUGAAGGAAAGAUGAAAAGAACUUUGAAAAGAGAGUGAAAAAGUACGUGAAAUUGUUGAAAGGGAAGGGCUUGAGAUUAGACUUGGAAUUUUCCAUUUAUGGAGCUUUCCGGGCCAGCAUCAGUUUGGAUGGCAGGAUAAUUGCGUUGGAAAGUAGCACCACUUCGGUGGUGUGUUAUAGACUUCGUCGAUACUGCCUAUCUAGACUGAGGACCGCGUCUUUGACUAGGAUGCUGG
Molecule: ribosomal RNA, 520 nt
Filed under: Yamadazyma membranifaciens
Lineage: Eukaryota; Fungi; Ascomycota; Pichiomycetes; Serinales; Debaryomycetaceae
Description: [Candida] membranifaciens partial large subunit ribosomal RNA
Rfam family: Eukaryotic large subunit ribosomal RNA
Source: RNAcentral